RNAcentral lists this ribosomal RNA (427 nucleotides) under uncultured bacterium. RNAcentral's name for it is "partial 16S ribosomal RNA". It matches the Rfam family "Bacterial small subunit ribosomal RNA", at positions 354 to 796 of the family's 1533-position model. The record is from RNAcentral.
GUGAGGAAUCUUCCACAAUGGGCGAAAGCCUGAUGGAGCAACGCCGCGUGAAGGAUGAAGGUCUUCGGAUUGUAAACUUCUUUUAUGAGUGAAGAAUAUGACGGUAACUCAUGAAUAAGCACCGGCUAACUACGUGCCAGCAGCCGCGGUCAUACGUAGGGUGCAAGCAUUAUCCGGAGUGACUGGGCGUAAAGAGUUGCGUAGGCGGUUAUGUAAGCGAAUAGUGAAACCUGGUGGCUCAACCACACAGACUAUUAUUCGAACUGCAUAACUAGAGAAUGGUAGAGGUAACUGGAAUUUCUGGUGUAGGAGUGAAAUCCGUAGAUAUAAGAAGGAACACCAAUGGCGUAGGCAGGUUACUGGGCCAUUUCUGACGCUAAGGCACGAAAGCGUGGGGAGCGAACCGGAUUAGAUACCCUUGUAGUCC